RNAcentral lists this ribosomal RNA (333 nucleotides) under uncultured bacterium. RNAcentral's name for it is "partial 16S ribosomal RNA". It matches the Rfam family "Bacterial small subunit ribosomal RNA", at positions 338 to 668 of the family's 1533-position model. The record is from RNAcentral.
CCUACGGGAGGCAGCAGUGAGGAAUAUUGGUCAAUGGGCGCGAGCCUGAACCAGCCAAGUAGCGUGAAGGAGGACUGCCCUACGGGUUGUAAACUUCUUGUAUAAAGGAAGAAAGUGAGGCACGUGGGCCUGUUUGUAUGUACUUUAUGAAUAAGGAUCGGCUAACUCCGUGCCAGCAGCCGCGGUAAUACGGAGGAUCCGAGCGUUAUCCGGAUUUAUUGGGGUUAAAGGGAGCGUAGAGGGGUUGUUAAGUCAGUGGUGAAAGGUUGCGGCUCAACCGUAAAAUGGCAAUUGAUACUGGCAGUCUUGCGUGCAGUUGCGGUCGGCGGCAUU